CUUAUACUCCCUCUGUUCCAAAAUUCUUGUCUUAAAUUUGUUUAGAUAUGAAUGUAUCUAGUCAAGUUUUAGUAUUUAGAUACAUUCAUUUCUAGAUAAAGCUAAGACAAGAAUUUUGGGACGGAGGGUGUAGAAA
Molecule: microRNA precursor, 136 nt
Filed under: Hordeum vulgare
Lineage: Eukaryota; Viridiplantae; Streptophyta; Magnoliopsida; Poales; Poaceae
Description: microRNA MIR1122
Rfam family: MIR1120/MIR1122 microRNA precursor family
Source: RNAcentral